RNAcentral lists this transfer RNA (65 nucleotides) under Paracarsidara gigantea. RNAcentral describes it as "tRNA-Ser". Lineage: Eukaryota; Metazoa; Arthropoda; Insecta; Hemiptera; Carsidaridae. The record is from RNAcentral.
UAGUUAAGUAAUUUAUAUAAAAUAUUUACCUUGAAAGUAAAAUAAAGAAAUUGUUUCUAUUAACU